GGGGGCGAUCGGUAUCGACCGGGAAGCCUGGUCAGUGAGGAAGGGUGCCGAGGACGUUGGUAACCUCGUUAAUCACCUGACACCAAUUAACUGGCAACAACAGCUAUGCUCUUGCGGCCUAAAUAGUGCCCCAAGCGCGUUGCGCCCCUUGUCUGCGGGGGCGUAAGGCGACACAACCAGCAGGCUGGCGCCGAAGCCCCGCCGCGGGGCCAGGCGCGAGAAUCUCAGCGGCCCGCUGUGCAUCCGCCCGUCCGGCGACGGUCGCACAGCCAGAGCACGAAGACGGACUACGCAUCUAGAUGCCUCAUUGAGCGACUUCGCGGCACGCGGGUUCGAUUCCCGCCGCCUCCACCA
RNAcentral lists this transfer-messenger RNA (354 nucleotides) under Planctomycetota. Its description in RNAcentral is "JADLBZ01 sp020847415 Standard tmRNA". It matches the Rfam family "transfer-messenger RNA". Rfam says of the family: Bacterial tmRNA, also known as 10Sa RNA or SsrA, is named for its dual tRNA and mRNA-like properties. Its role is to liberate the mRNA from a stalled ribosome. Lineage: Bacteria; Pseudomonadati. RNAcentral also lists the same sequence under 1 other name. The record is from RNAcentral.